Molecule: ribosomal RNA, 253 nt
Filed under: uncultured bacterium
Lineage: Bacteria
Description: partial 16S ribosomal RNA
Rfam family: Bacterial small subunit ribosomal RNA
Source: RNAcentral
UACGUAGGGUGCAAGCGUUGUCCGGAAUUAUUGGGCGUAAAGAGCUCGUAGGCGGUCUGUCGCGUCGGAUGUGAAAAUCCAGGGCUCAACCCUGGACCUGCAUUCGAUACGGGCAGACUAGAGUUCGGCAGGGGAGACUGGAAUUCCUGGUGUAGCGGUGAAAUGCGCAGAUAUCAGGAGGAACACCGGUGGCGAAGGCGGGUCUCUGGGCCGAUACUGACGCUGAGGAGCGAAAGCGUGGGGAGCGAUCCGG